This 200-nucleotide unclassified non-coding RNA is filed under the name soil metagenome. Its description in RNAcentral is "partial contains internal transcribed spacer 2 and large subunit ribosomal RNA". The record is from RNAcentral.
UCGAGCGUCAUUAUAACCACUCAAGCUCUCGCUUGGUAUUGGGGUUCGCGGUCUCGCGGCCCCUAAAAUCAGUGGCGGUGCCUGUCGGCUCUACGCGUAGUAAUACUCCUCGCGUCUGGGUCCGGUAGGUCUACUUGCCAGCAACCCCCAAUUUUUUACAGGUUGACCUCGGAUCAGGUAGGGAUACCCGCUGAACUUAA